This 603-nucleotide ribosomal RNA is filed under the name uncultured bacterium. Its description in RNAcentral is "bacterial SSU rRNA". It matches the Rfam family "Bacterial small subunit ribosomal RNA", at positions 8 to 628 of the family's 1533-position model. The record is from RNAcentral.
AGAGUUUGAUCCUGGCUCAGGACGAACGCUGGCGGCGUGCUUAACACAUGCAAGUCGAGCGAUGAAGUUCCUUCGGGAAUGAAUUAGCGGCGGACGGGUGAGUAACACGUGGGUAACCUGCCUCAUAGAGGGGAAUAGCCUUUCGAAAGGAAGAUUAAUACCGCAUAAGAUUGUAGCUUCGCAUGAAGCAGCAACUAAAGGAGUAAUCCGCUAUGAGAUGGACCCGCGUCGCAUUAGCUAGUUGGUGAGGUAACGGCUCACCAAGGCGACGAUGCGUAGCCGACCUGAGAGGGUGAUCGGCCACAUUGGGACUGAGACACGGCCCAGACUCCUACGGGAGGCAGCAGUGGGGAAUAUUGCACAAUGGGGGAAACCCUGAUGCAGCAACGCCGCGUGAGUGAUGACGGUCUUCGGAUUGUAAAACUCUGUCUUCAGGGACGAUAAUGACGGUACCUGAGGAGGAAGCCACGGCUAACUACGUGCCAGCAGCCGCGGUAAUACGUAGGUGGCAAGCGUUGUCCGGAUUUACUGGGCGUAAAGGGAGCGUAGGUGGACAUUUAAGUGGGAUGUGAAAUACUCGGGCUUAACCUGAGUGCUGCAUUC